This 424-nucleotide ribosomal RNA is filed under the name uncultured bacterium. Its description in RNAcentral is "bacterial SSU rRNA". It matches the Rfam family "Bacterial small subunit ribosomal RNA", at positions 355 to 795 of the family's 1533-position model. The record is from RNAcentral.
UGGGGAAUAUUGCACAAUGGGGGAAACCCUGAUGCAGCAACGCCGCGUGGAGGAUGACACAUUUCGGUGCGUAAACUCCUUUUAUAUAGGAAGAAAAUGACGGUACUAUAUGAAUAAGCGCCGGCUAACUCCGUGCCAGCAGCCGCGGUAAUACGGAGGGCGCAAGCGUUACUCGGAAUCACUGGGCGUAAAGAGCGUGUAGGCGGAUAGAUAAGUUAGGAGUGAAAUCCUAUGGCUCAACCAUAGAACUGCUUCUAAAACUGUCUAUCUAGAGUAUGGGAGAGGUAGAUGGAAUUUCUGGUGUAGGGGUAAAAUCCGUAGAGAUCAGAAGGAAUACCGAUUGCGAAGGCGAUCUACUGGAACAUAACUGACGCUGAGACGCGAAAGCGUGGGGAGCAAACAGGAUUAGAUACCCCCGGUAGUC